GACGAACGCUGGCGGCGUGCUUAACACAUGCAAGUCGAACGGUGAAGCGCCUCCCUUUUUGGUGGGUGUGGAUGAGCGGCGAACGGGUGAGUAACACGUGAGUAACCUGCCCCCUUCUUCUGGAUAACCGCAUGAAAGUGUGUCUAAUACGGGAUAUUCUGCGUCUGUCGCAUGAUGGGUCUGGGUAGGAUAUUGUUUCGGUGGGGGAUGGGCUCGCGGCCUAUCGGCUUGUUGGGGGGGUGAUGGCCUACCAAGGCGGGGACGGGUAGCCGGCCUGGGAGGGUGGACGGCCUCACUGGGACUCAGACACGGCCGAGACUCAGACACGAGCAAGAAGUCGGGAGUAUCGCACAAUGGGCGAAAGCCUGAUGUGGCGACGCCGCGGAAGGAGCAGAGGCCCUCGCGGGAUGAAGCUCUUUCGCUGGUAAAGCGCGCCCGCCUCGUAUGUGGGUGGGUUGACGGUAGCUGGAAAAGAAGCGCCGGCUAACUACGUG
This 494-nucleotide ribosomal RNA is filed under the name uncultured bacterium. RNAcentral's name for it is "partial 16S ribosomal RNA". It matches the Rfam family "Bacterial small subunit ribosomal RNA", at positions 28 to 507 of the family's 1533-position model. The record is from RNAcentral.